This 460-nucleotide ribosomal RNA is filed under the name uncultured bacterium. RNAcentral's name for it is "partial 16S ribosomal RNA". It matches the Rfam family "Bacterial small subunit ribosomal RNA", at positions 338 to 795 of the family's 1533-position model. The record is from RNAcentral.
CCUACGGGGGGCAGCAGUGAGGAAUAUUGGUCAAUGGACGCAAGCCUGAACCAGCCAUGCCGCGUGAAGGAAGACGGCUCUAUGAGUUGUAAACUGCUUUUGUACGAGGGUAAACGCAGAUACGCGUAUCUGUCUGAAAGUAUCGUACGAAUAAGGAUCGGCUAACUCCGGGCCAGCAGCCGCGGUAAUACGGAGGAUUCAAGCGUUAUCCGGAUUUAUUGGGUUUAAAGGGUGCGUAGGCGGUCUGAUAAGUUAGAGGUGAAAUCCCGAGGCUCAACUUCGGAAUUGCCGCUGAUACUGGUCGGCUUGAGAGUAGUUGCGGUAGGCGGAAUGUGUGGUGUAGCGGUGAAAUGCGUAGAGAUCAUACAGAACACCGAUUGCGAAGGCAGCCUACCAAGCUACUUCUGACGUUGAGGCACGAAAGCGUGGGGAGCAAACAGGAUUAGAUACCCUUGUAGUC